GGAGAGGUGUCCGAGUGGUUUAAGGUGCUGCUCUCGAAAAGCAGUGUGCUGUCAAAGGCACCGCGGGUUCGAAUCCCGCCCUCUCCG
This 87-nucleotide transfer RNA is filed under the name Thermomicrobiales bacterium. RNAcentral describes it as "tRNA-Ser". It matches the Rfam family "tRNA". Rfam says of the family: Transfer RNA (tRNA) molecules are approximately 80 nucleotides in length. Their secondary structure includes four short double-helical elements and three loops (D, anti-codon, and T loops). The record is from RNAcentral. RNAcentral also lists the same sequence under 1 other name. Lineage: Bacteria; Pseudomonadati; Thermomicrobiota; Thermomicrobia; Thermomicrobiales.